CUGCCAUUGGGGGAAGGUCUCUCAUUGGAUCUCCUUCUUUUGAGGAUCUUCUACAUAAGCACAGAUCUUCAGAGAUGGUUGCUGCUGGUAUCAUGUGUCUAAGAAAUGUGUACAGUAUGAACAACGCCGACGGACGCAUGGAUGAAAAAAAAAACCUUUUGGGAAAAAUAGAUCUUCUCAUGCAAUUAUGUACAGUCUCACUGUGUAAAUUUCAAGGCAAGAUUCUUUUUUUUUUAUUUUUUCUGCAAAACAUGGACACCGUUUUACCGAGAGAAUGGUUUUGCUUUGACUUGGUUUAGUGCAUUUCUUGUUACCUCCUGCAUUUUGCAUUAUUUUGCUCUAUUCUUUAAUCUUGUGUGCAAACGACAUGCCAGUUUAAAAACAAAACUAACUUAUGUAGAGAAAGUAAUUCUGGAUUGUAAAAACAAUGGUAAACAGAAAGCUAAUGAAAUCCAUACCAAAAUUACACCGUCUGAUUCAAGUAAAAAAAUUACUUACACUAGGAAUAAAAAAAGACAAACACAGCUCAUGAAUAUAAAAGAAAUGUCUGCUGAGUGUUUUAAUUUAGAUGUUUCAGAAUGCUGCUGUACGUUUUGUGGGGAAUCUGGGGAGAUGACUUCAUAGCAGAAGGCGUUAGCGUGGCCUGUAUGGAUUUCAGUGGCGAACCGACGGGGCUAUGAAACUGAGGAAUACCUAUAGCCUCAAGCUGCUUGUUGAAGAAGAGUUCUCCACUGUUACUGAGAAAGCUCUCUCCUCUCUCCUUCUCCCCAAGCUUCCCCUCUUCUACUGGCUCAGGUUCUAGCAUUUCAGCAUCUUCUUUCUUACUAAAGAAUUUGUCCAAAUAACUGGUGUAAGUAUUUUCUUUUUCAACUUGUUCGUCUUUCCUCACCUCACAACAGAACUGGUCUAUGAGGAAGCACUCCUCCCCGUUACUUACAAACUGACUCUCCCAAGAAGUUUGGUACAGAGCUCCUAACUGGGCCAAGUUGGCCAUUCCCUUCUCCUGCUUCUCUCUGCUUACCGACUUCGAUAUUAAUCCUUUCGACUCCAUCUGAGACACCGAGCUAUUCAAGUCAUUUAAUUUAUCAACAUCAGUAGGCUCGUGCUGUAAACUAAGCUGAAUGGUUUCCGCUAUAAACGAAUCAAAGUCAAAUCCUUGAUUCUUCUCCCUUUCUUUUUCAACAAGUUGCUGUGAUGCUUCCUCAAGCGCUAUCUGGGCUUUCACCAAUCCAUUCUUUUCACAUUUAGACUUGCCUUUCUUAUCAGACUUUUCUUUGCUCUGUUCCUUCCAGUUUGAAAGAUCUAUAAUAAGCUUGGGCUCAUAGUAAUGGUUAACUUCACUGUCUCGCCAAACUAAAUUAUCUAGGUAUGAAGAUGACCUCAUUUUGUAAUUACAAGUGUGACUACAUUCCAGAUCACAGUAUUUGUUUUCAUGGUGAUCUGAAUACUGCCAGCAAGGCUCAGUAGAGAAGUGGGUGUCAAAAGCAGGAUCCUCCAGAUACUUUUC
Molecule: long non-coding RNA, 1507 nt
Filed under: Gallus gallus (chicken)
Lineage: Eukaryota; Metazoa; Chordata; Aves; Galliformes; Phasianidae
Source: RNAcentral